RNAcentral lists this ribosomal RNA (253 nucleotides) under uncultured bacterium. RNAcentral's name for it is "partial 16S ribosomal RNA". It matches the Rfam family "Bacterial small subunit ribosomal RNA", at positions 524 to 776 of the family's 1533-position model. The record is from RNAcentral.
UACGUAGGUGGCAAGCGUUGUCCGGAUUUAUUGGGUUUAAAGGGUGCGUAGGCGGCCUAUUAAGUCAGUGCUGAAAUAUCCCGGCUUAACCGGGAGGGUGGCAUUGAUACUGAUGGGCUUGAGUAGAGUUGAGGUUGGCGGAAUUGACGGUGUAGCGGUGAAAUGCUUAGAUAUCGUCAAGAACACCUAUUGCGAAGGCAGCUAACUAAGCUCAAACUGACGCUGAGGCACGAAAGUGUGGGUAGCAAACAGG